AUACCGCGUGUGUGAAGAAGGCCUGAGGGUUGUAAAGCACUUUCAAUAGGAAGGAAUACCUAUCGGUUAAUACCCGGUAGACUGACAUUACCUAUACAAGAAGCACCGGCUAACUCCGUGCCAGCAGCCGCGGUAAUACGGAGGGUGCAAGCGUUAAUCGGAAUUACUGGGCGUAAAGCGUGCGUAGGCGGUUAUUUAAGUCAGAUGUGAAAGCCCUGGGCUUAACCUGGGAACUGCAUUUGAUACUGGAUGACUAGAGUUGAGUAGAGGAGAGUGGAAUUUCAGGUGUAGCGGUGAAAUGCGUAGAGAUCUGAGGGAACACCAGUGGCGAAGGCGGCUCUCUGGACUCAAACUGACGCUGAGGUACGAAAGCGUGGGUAGCAAACAGGAUUAGAUACCCUGGUAGUCCACGCCGUAAACGAUGUCAACUAACCGUUGGGUUCUUUAAGAACUUAGUGGUGGAGCUAACGUAUUAAGUUGACCGCCUGGGGAGUACGGCCGCAAGGCUAAAACUCAAAUGAAUUGACGGGGGCCCGCACAAGCGGUGGAGCAUGUGGUUUAAUUCGAUGCAACGCGAAGAACCUUACCUACCCUUGACAUGUAGCGAAUCCUUUAGAGAUAGAGGAGUGGCUUCGGGAACGCUACACAGGUGCUGCAUG
This 659-nucleotide ribosomal RNA is filed under the name uncultured bacterium. RNAcentral describes it as "bacterial SSU rRNA". It matches the Rfam family "Bacterial small subunit ribosomal RNA", at positions 394 to 1047 of the family's 1533-position model. The record is from RNAcentral.